This 1076-nucleotide ribosomal RNA is filed under the name Calanus hyperboreus. RNAcentral describes it as "16S ribosomal RNA". The stretch from base 708 to 1032 matches the Rfam family "Archaeal large subunit ribosomal RNA", at positions 2150 to 2716 of the family's 2987-position model. The record is from RNAcentral. Lineage: Eukaryota; Metazoa; Arthropoda; Copepoda; Calanoida; Calanidae.
AAAAGAGCAUCUCUCUCUAAAAAAAAGGUACUAUACUAUUAUUAAUUAACUUAAAAUGGGGAAAGAUACCUUUUGCAUCAUGUAUAAAUAAGAAUAAAAAAUAAGAAGUUUCACGAAUAAUUAAGAAUAAAAAAUAUACGGUUAAAAAUGUGGUAACAUUUUAAUAAAUAUAGUUUUUGGAAUGAUAUGUUUAAAUUAAAUAAAUUCUUGUUAAAUUUUAAUAGGUUAAAUCUAAUUGUUAGAAAAAUAUAAUAUUUUAGGAGAUAAGUCUUAAGAUUUUAAUUAAAUAAAAAAUAUAAAAGUAUAAAAUAUAAAUAUUAAUGUUAAAUAGAAUAUAUUAAAAUUCUAAGUGUUUAGGUUUUAGGGUUUAUUGUUAGAAAAUUUUUUAAGGUUAAAUUAUAUAACUUUAUUGAUUAUAUUUAUAUGAGUAGUUAAAUUGUAAAAAAUAAAAAUAAAUAAAAAUUUUUUAGUUUAAAAUAAAAAUUAAGAUAAAAUUACUCGACUCUAUAUAUUUAGCCUGUUUAUCAAAAACAUUGUAAAUUAGAUUUAUAAUGCCUGCUCAAUGAAAUAUUUAAAUAGCCGCGUUAGUGUUAAGGUAGCAUAGUAAUUAGUUUUUUAAUUGGAAAAUGGAAUGAAUGGUUUCACUAAGAUAUGGUAUUUAUGCUAAUAAAUGAAAUUUUAAUUUAAGUGAAAAUACUUAAAAGAUCUUUUAAGACGAGAAGACCCUAUGAAGCUGAUAGACCAUAAAUAUAAUUAUUAUAAAUUUUUAAGUUUAUUUUUUGGGGUAAAAUUUAAUAAUUUUAUUUAAAUGGGCUUAUUUUAAUUGAUCCUUUAGGAAUUAUGAAAGAGCUCCUCUAGGGAUAACAGCAUUAUACCUAUAAGAGUUCUUAUCAGAAUAGGUGUUUGUGACCUCGAUGUUGAAUUAAAUACUUUUAUUUGUGCAGGAGCUAAUAAAAGACGGUCUGUUCGACCCUUAAUAUUUACAUGAUUUGAGUUAAAAUCGACGCAAGUCAGAUUGGUUUCUAUCUAAAAUUCAAAGUAUUAUUACUUAGUACGAAAGGAAUAGUAAUAGUUUU